Molecule: non-coding RNA, 48 nt
Organism: Schistosoma rodhaini
Lineage: Eukaryota; Metazoa; Platyhelminthes; Trematoda; Strigeidida; Schistosomatidae
Source: Rfam
AUCCAGCUGACGAGUCCCAAAUAGGACGAAAUGCGCAUCAAACUGGAU